RNAcentral lists this ribosomal RNA (519 nucleotides) under uncultured bacterium. RNAcentral describes it as "bacterial SSU rRNA". It matches the Rfam family "Bacterial small subunit ribosomal RNA", at positions 8 to 522 of the family's 1533-position model. The record is from RNAcentral.
AGGGUUUGAUCAUGGCUCAGAUUGAACGCUGGCGGAAUGCUUUACACAUGCAAGUCGAACGGCAGCACGGACUUCGGUCUGGUGGCGAGUGGCGAACGGGUGAGUAAUAUAUCGGAACGUAUCCAAUAAUGGGGGAUAACUAAUCGAAAGGUUGGCUAAUACCGCAUACGCCCUACGGGGGAAAGCUAGGGACCUUCGGGCCUGGCGUUAAUGGAGCGGCCGAUAUCUGAUUAGCUAGUUGGUGAGGUAAAGGCUCACCAAGGCGACGAUCAGUAGCUGGUCUGAGAGGACGACCAGCCGCACUGGAACUGAGACACGGUCCAGACUCCUACGGGAGGCAGCAGUGGGGAAUUUUGGACAAUGGGCGAAAGCCUGAUCCAGCCAUUCCGCGUGAGUGAAGAAGGCCUUCGGGUUGUAAAGCUCUUUCGCAAGGGAAGAAAGAUUAUCCUCUAACAUAGGAUGAUUAUGACGGUACCUUGAUAAGAAGCACCGGCUAACUACGUGCCAGCAGCCGCGGUA